AUCUAUAGCCAUACCAUCCUGAUGGUGCCCAAUCUAGCCUAAUCUUGGAAGCUAAGCAGGGUUGGGUCUAGUUAGUACUUGGAUGGGAGAACACCUGGAAUUACCAGGUCCUGUAGGAU
This 119-nucleotide ribosomal RNA is filed under the name Jaculus jaculus (lesser Egyptian jerboa). The record is from RNAcentral. Lineage: Eukaryota; Metazoa; Chordata; Mammalia; Rodentia; Dipodidae.